Molecule: ribosomal RNA, 468 nt
Filed under: uncultured bacterium
Lineage: Bacteria
Description: partial 16S ribosomal RNA
Rfam family: Bacterial small subunit ribosomal RNA
Source: RNAcentral
GACGGACGCUGGCGGCGUGCUUAACACAUGCAAGUCGAACGGAAAGGCCCUGCUUUUGUGGGGUGCUCGAGUGGCGAACGGGUGAGUAACACGUGAGUAACCUGCCCUUGACUUUGGGAUAACUUCAGGAAACUGGGGCUAAUACCGGAUAGGAGCUCCUGCUGCAUGGUGGGGGUUGGAAAGUUUCGGCGGUUGGGGAUGGACUCGCGGCUUAUCAGCUUGUUGGUGGGGUAGUGGCUUACCAAGGCUUUGACGGGUAGCCGGCCUGAGAGGGUGACCGGCCACAUUGGGACUGAGAUACGGACCAGACUCCUACGGGAGGCAGCAGUGGGGAAUAGUGCACAAUGGGCGGAAGCCUGAUGCAGCAACGCCGCGUGCGGGAUGACGGCCUUCGGGUUGUAAACCGCUUUCGCCUGUGACGAAGCGUGAGUGACGGUAAUGGGUAAAGAAGCACCGGCUAACUACGUG